UGCCAGCCGCCGCGGUAACACGAACCGUCCAAACGUUAUUCGGUAUCACUGGGCUUAAAGCGUGCGUAGGCGGCUUGGUAGGUGAGAUGUGAAAUCCCACGGCUCAACCGUGGAAUUGCGUCGCAAACCCCCAAGCUUGAGGAAGACAGGGGUGUUGGGAACUUAUGGUGGAGCGGUGAAAUGCGUUGAUAUCAUAGGGAACACCGGUGGCGAAGGCGCAACACUGGGCUAUUUCUGACGCUGAGGUGCGAAAGCCAGGGGAGCAAACGGGAUUAGAUA
This 279-nucleotide ribosomal RNA is filed under the name uncultured bacterium. Its description in RNAcentral is "partial 16S ribosomal RNA". It matches the Rfam family "Bacterial small subunit ribosomal RNA", at positions 506 to 784 of the family's 1533-position model. The record is from RNAcentral.